GUCGAGCGGUAGCACAGAGAGCUUGCUCUCGGGUGACGAGCGGCGGACGGGUGAGUAAUGUCUGGGAAACUGCCUGAUGGAGGGGGAUAACUACUGGAAACGGUAGCUAAUACCGCAUAACGUCGCAAGACCAAAGUGGGGGACCUUCGGGCCUCAUGCCAUCAGAUGUGCCCAGAUGGGAUUAGCUGGUAGGUGGGGUAACGGCUCACCUAGGCGACGAUCCCUAGCUGGUCUGAGAGGAUGACCAGCCACACUGGAACUGAGACACGGUCCAGACUCCUACGGGAGGCAGCAGUGGGGAAUAUUGCACAAUGGGCGCAAGCCUGAUGCAGCCAUGCCGCGUGUGUGAAGAAGGCCUUCGGGUUGUAAAGCACUUUCAGCGGGGAGGAAGGCGGUGAGGUUAAUAACCUCACCGAUUGACGUUACCCGCAGAAGAAGCACCGGCUAACUCCGUGCCAGCAGCCGCGGUAAUACGGAGGGUGCAAGCGUUAAUCGGAAUUACUGGGCGUAAAGCGCACGCAGGCGGUCUGUCAAGUCGGAUGUGAAAUCCCCGGGCUCAACCUGGGAACUGCAUUCGAAACUGGCAGGCUAGAGUCUUGUAGAGGGGGGUAGAAUUCCAGGUGUAGCGGUGAAAUGCGUAGAGAUCUGGAGGAAUACCGGUGGCGAAGGCGGCCCCCUGGACAAAGACUGACGCUCAGGUGCGAAAGCGUGGGGAGCAAACAGGAUUAGAUACCCUGGUAGUCCACGCUGUAAACGAUGUCGAUUUGGAGGUUGUGCCCUUGAGGCGUGGCUUCCGGAGCUAACGCGUUAAAUCGACCGCCUGGGGAGUACGGCCGCAAGGUUAAAACUCAAAUGAAUUGACGGGGGCCCGCACAAGCGGUGGAGCAUGUGGUUUAAUUCGAUGCAACGCGAAGAACCUUACCUGGUCUUGACAUCCACAGAACUUUCCAGAGAUGGAUUGGUGCCUUCGGGAACUGUGAGACAGGUGCUGCAUGGCUGUCGUCAGCUCGUGUUGUGAAAUGUUGGGUUAAGUCCCGCAACGAGCGCAACCCUUAUCCUUUGUUGCCAGCGGUUAGGCCGGGAACUCAAAGGAGACUGCCAGUGAUAAACUGGAGGAAGGUGGGGAUGACGUCAAGUCAUCAUGGCCCUUACGACCAGGGCUACACACGUGCUACAAUGGCAUAUACAAAGAGAAGCGACCUCGCGAGAGCAAGCGGACCUCAUAAAGUAUGUCGUAGUCCGGAUUGGAGUCUGCAACUCGACUCCAUGAAGUCGGAAUCGCUAGUAAUCGUAGAUCAGAAUGCUACGGUGAAUACGUUCCCGGGCCUUGUACACACCGCCCGUCACACCAUGGGAGUGGGUGCAAAAGAAGUAGGUAGCUUAACCUUCGGGAGGGCGCU
Molecule: ribosomal RNA, 1400 nt
Filed under: Klebsiella variicola
Lineage: Bacteria; Pseudomonadati; Pseudomonadota; Gammaproteobacteria; Enterobacterales; Enterobacteriaceae
Description: bacterial SSU rRNA
Rfam family: Bacterial small subunit ribosomal RNA
Source: RNAcentral